RNAcentral lists this ribosomal RNA (393 nucleotides) under uncultured bacterium. RNAcentral's name for it is "partial 16S ribosomal RNA". It matches the Rfam family "Bacterial small subunit ribosomal RNA", at positions 523 to 918 of the family's 1533-position model. The record is from RNAcentral.
AUACGGAAGGUCCGGGCGUUAUCCGGAUUUAUUGGGUUUAAAGGGAGCGCAGGCGGAGAUGCAAGCGUGACGUCAAAUUUCGGGGCUCAACCCCGUCUCGCGUCGCGAACUGCGUCCCUUGGUUGCGGGAAGGGGAGGCGGAACUCGCGGGGUAGCGGGGAAAUGCAUAGAUAUCACGAAGAACUCCGAUCGCGAAGGCAGCCUUCCGGCCCGUCAACGACGCUCAUGCUCGAAGGUGCGGGUAUCAAACAGGAUUAGAUACCCUGGUAGUCCGCACAGUAAACGAUGGACACCCGCGGUUUGGCCUGUAUGGCUGAGCCGCCAAGCGAAAGCGUUAAGUGUCCCACCUGGGGAGUACGCCGGCAACGGUGAAACUCAAAGGAAUUGACGGGG